GGGGGGGGCAAGCGUUGUUCGGAAUUACUGGGCGUAAAGGGCUCGUGGGCGGCCAACUAAGUCAGACGUGAAAUCCCUCGGCUUAACCGGGGAACUGCGUCUGAUACUGGAUGGCUCGAGUUUGGGAGAGGGAUGCGGAAUUCCAGGUGUAGCGGUGAAAUGCGUAGAUAUCUGGAGGAACACCGGUGGCGAAGGCGGCAUCCUGGACCAACACUGACGCUGAGGAGCGAAAGCCAGGGGAGCAAACGGGAUUAGAUACCCCGGUAGUCCUGGCCCUAAACGAUGAAUGCUUGGUGUGACGGGUAUCGAUCCCUGUCGUGCCGAAGCUAACGCAUUAAGCAUUCCGCCUGGGGAGUACGGUCGCAAGGCUG
Molecule: ribosomal RNA, 371 nt
Filed under: uncultured bacterium
Lineage: Bacteria
Description: bacterial SSU rRNA
Rfam family: Bacterial small subunit ribosomal RNA
Source: RNAcentral